Molecule: ribosomal RNA, 253 nt
Filed under: uncultured bacterium
Lineage: Bacteria
Description: partial 16S ribosomal RNA
Rfam family: Bacterial small subunit ribosomal RNA
Source: RNAcentral
UACGUAGGCAGCGAGCGUUGUUCGGAAUUACUGGGCGUAAAGAGUGUGUAGGCGGUGUUCCAAGUCUGGUGUGAAAUCUCCCGGCUUAACUGGGAGGGUGCAUUAGAAACUGGAAUGCUAGAGGAUGGGAGAGGUAAGCGGAAUUCCUGGUGUAGCGGUGAAAUGCGUAGAUAUCAGGAGGAACACCUGUGGUGUAGACAGCUUACUGGACCAUUUCUGACGCUGAGACACGAAAGCGUGGGUAGCAAACAGG